This is a long non-coding RNA of Xenia sp. Carnegie-2017, 506 nucleotides long. RefSeq lists it as uncharacterized. The record is from RefSeq and is a predicted model, not a curated record. The transcript has 2 exons. Lineage: Eukaryota; Metazoa; Cnidaria; Anthozoa; Malacalcyonacea; Xeniidae.
GAUGCUUAAACAUACAAACGUAAACACGUUGGAGCAAUCAGAACAAGGGCUUGGAAACAGGAGUUUGGGAAUGAUCUUGUGACUAAGACCAAUAUGCAACGAGAAAACGUACAAUUGCUCCUCGACGAAUUCAACAAAAACCGUUUAAAGAGCUGCUCAAAGAAAUCUGAAAAUGAAAAGAGUUUUGGAGUAUGCUGCAGACGUGCUUGCUGCGAUAUCAUGUAUGAAAAUAGAUCCAAUGAUGAGAAACUUUAAUGUAUUCUUGCUGUGUGACCAAGCUAACGAUAAGUGAUUACUUCUGUGAGCGAGGCAAGCGGAACUUGCGGGGUAAAGGAUGGUAAGACUCCACACAAAGUGUGCAAAUGACAUUUCUCUUGCUAAAUUUUUCGAGAAUGGAAUGCGACACUUCGUUUUUAGGGCAAAAAUUUGUGCGUGGUGGAUAUCCCCUUGCUUUUAUUUACAGAGAGAAUUUUUUCUGAUAAUAUAAGAAACUACGAAAGAAAUGU